This 82-nucleotide transfer RNA is filed under the name Perkinsus marinus ATCC 50983. It matches the Rfam family "tRNA". From Rfam's summary of the family: Transfer RNA (tRNA) molecules are approximately 80 nucleotides in length. Their secondary structure includes four short double-helical elements and three loops (D, anti-codon, and T loops). Lineage: Eukaryota; Perkinsozoa; Perkinsida; Perkinsidae. The record is from Rfam by way of RNAcentral.
GUCAGUUUGGCCGAGUGGUCUAAGGCGCCAGACUCAAGUUCUGGUGGAGAAAUCCGCGUGGGUUCGAACCCCAUAGCUGACA